GACGAACGCUGGCGGCGUGCUUAACACAUGCAAGUCGAACGAUGAAGAAGAGAAACGCGCCCUUCGGUUCAAAUUUCACUUCGGAUUAGUGGCAGACGGUUGAGUAACUCGUGAGCAACCUACCUCUUACAAAGGGAUAGCCUCGGGAAACCGUGAUUAAUACCAUAUGACACAUUCAUAAGGCAUCUUAAGAAUGUUAAAGCUACGGCGGUAAGAGAUGGGCUCGCGUCCCAUUAGCUAGUUGGUGAGGUAACGGCCCACCAAGGCGACGAUGGGUAACCGGCCUGAGAGGGUGAACGGUCACAUUGGAACUGAGACACGGUCCAAACUCCUACGGGAGGCAGCAGUGGGGAAUAUUGCACAAUGGAGGGAACUCUGAUGCAGCGACGCCGCGUGAGCGAUGAAGGAAUUCGUGUCGUAAAGCUCUGUUCUAUGGGAAGAAAAGGACUGUACCAAAGGAGAAAGCCCCGGCUAAAUACGUG
This 482-nucleotide ribosomal RNA is filed under the name uncultured bacterium. RNAcentral describes it as "partial 16S ribosomal RNA". It matches the Rfam family "Bacterial small subunit ribosomal RNA", at positions 28 to 507 of the family's 1533-position model. The record is from RNAcentral.